This 253-nucleotide ribosomal RNA is filed under the name uncultured bacterium. RNAcentral's name for it is "partial 16S ribosomal RNA". It matches the Rfam family "Bacterial small subunit ribosomal RNA", at positions 524 to 776 of the family's 1533-position model. The record is from RNAcentral.
UACGUAGGGCGCAAGCGUUGUCCGGAAUCAUUGGGCGUAAAGCGCGCGUAGGCGGCCAGAUAAGUCCGGUGUGAAAGUCAAAGGCUCAACCUUUGAAUGCCGCUGGAAACUGUCUGGCUUGAGUUCGGUAGGGGAGACUGGAAUUCCUGGUGUAGCGGUGAAAUGCGCAGAUAUCAGGAGGAACACCGGUGGCGAAGGCGGGUCUCUGGGCCGAUACUGACGCUGAGGAGCGAAAGCGUGGGGAGCGAACAGG